RNAcentral lists this ribosomal RNA (909 nucleotides) under uncultured bacterium. RNAcentral's name for it is "bacterial SSU rRNA". It matches the Rfam family "Bacterial small subunit ribosomal RNA", at positions 37 to 932 of the family's 1533-position model. The record is from RNAcentral.
UGGCGGCGUGGUUAAGACAUGCAAGUCGAACGCGAUUUUUCCGGUUAGCAAUAACUGGAAAAAUUGAGUGGCGAAUGGGUGCGUAACACGUGGGAAUUUAUCCGGAAGUGGGGGAUAGCUUGCCGAAAGGCAAAUUAAUACCGCAUAUGCCCGUAAGGGCAAAGUGGGGGACCGCAAGGCCUCACGCUAUCGGAGGAGCCCGCGCCCUAUCAGCUAGUUGGUGAGGUAAUGGCUCACCAAGGCUUAGACGGGUAGCUGGUCUGAGAGGACGACCAGCCACACUGGAACUGAGACACGGUCCAGACACCUACGGGUGGCAGCAGUCGAGGAUUUUUCUCAAUGGGGGCAACCCUGAAGGAGCGACGCCGCGUGGAGGAUGAAGGGCUUCGGCUCGUAAACUCCUGUCACCGACGAACAAGGCAUCCGGAUUAAUAAAUCGGAUGCUUGAUGGUAGUCGGAGAGGAAGGGGCGGCUAACUCUGUGCCAGCAGCCGCGGUGAUACAGAGGCCCCAAGCGUUGUUCGGAUUUACUGGGCGUAAAGGGUGUGUAGGGGGUCGUGUAAGUUUGACGUGAAAUCCCGUUGCUCAACAACGGAACUGCGUCGAAUACUGCUCGGCUGGAGGUUCGGAGAUGAGGGCGGAAUUCUCGGUGUAGCGGUGAAAUGCGUAGAUAUCGAGAGGAACGCCGAUGGCGAAAGCAGCCCUCAAGACGAAAUCUGACCCUGAAACACGAAGGCCAGGGGAGCAAACGGGAUUAGAUACCCCGGUAGUCCUGGCAGUAAACGGUGCUCAUUAGAUGUANGCGGAUUCGACCCCGCCUGUGUCGAACCUAACGGAUUAAAUGAGCCGCCUGGGAAGUACGGUCGCAAGAUUAAAACUCAAAGAAAUUGACGGGGGCCCGCACNAGCNG